RNAcentral lists this ribosomal RNA (1320 nucleotides) under Pheidole oxyops. RNAcentral's name for it is "16S ribosomal RNA". The stretch from base 1071 to 1229 matches the Rfam family "Archaeal large subunit ribosomal RNA", at positions 2544 to 2703 of the family's 2987-position model. Lineage: Eukaryota; Metazoa; Arthropoda; Insecta; Hymenoptera; Formicidae. The record is from RNAcentral.
GUGGUGGAAUAAGUGAAAGAAUUUUGUUUAAAUAAAGUUAUAUAGGAAUUAUGUCGUUAAAUUAAAUUAAAUUAAUUAAUUAAGAGAAAUUAUAAAGAAAGUAUUGUGAGAGAAGGCGGAGUAAAAGGGGGAAAGUAGGUUUAAUUUAGUGUACCUUUUGUAUCAGGGGUUAUUAAGAGAUAAUUUAUGUAUAUAUAAAUUUCCCGAAGUUAAAAGAGCGAAUAGGAUAUGAUAGUUAAUGUUGCAUAAUUAUUAUAAAUAUUUUAUUAGAGAAUAUAUUUUAAGCAAUUUUAAGGAUAUCUGGUUUUUUUUGAUUUAAAUUUAAUUUAAAUUUAAGGGUUAAUAUUUAUAUUUAAGUGGUGAUAGAGAUAUUGAUAAUUAAGUGAAGAAAUUACGGGAUAACCUGUAAUUUUUAUUAAAAUUGGGGGAGUUAAUGUUAUGUAGGAAUAUUCAUAGAAUUUGAAAUUUCUAAAAAAAAUUUAAUAAUUUAUAAGUUAGGGGGGUGUAAGUAAAUUAUGAAGAAUUUAAAGGAUAGAUUUAAUUGUAUAAAAAAAGAAUUAUUAUAAUAAUUUUUAAAUAAAUAAAUAAUGAUAAUAUUAGUAAAAUUAUAAAAAAUUUAAAAUGUAUAAAAAUAUAAAAUUAGUUUUAGGAAUUAGGCAAGAAUUAAGUUCACCUGUUUAUUAAAAACAUGGUUUUUUGAAUAUAAUUUAAAAUCGUUUCUGCCCACUGAAUUAGAGUUUAAAUGGCUGCAGUAUCUUAACUGUACAAAGGUAGCAUAAUCAAUAGUUUUUUAAAUGGAAACUGGGAUGAAAGAAGUGAUGAGAUUUAUACUGUCUUAAAUUAAAUUAUUGAAUUUAUAAAUUAAGUAAAAAUACUUAAAUAAGAACAUGGGACGAGAAGACCCUAUAGAAUUUUAUAUAAAUUUAAAAAAAAGGUAGAUGUGAAAUUUUGAAUUUAUAUUUUAUUGGGAGGAUAGUUAAAUUAAGUAAACUUUAAAAAAUAUUUGUCAUUAAUGUAUGAUUUAAAAUAAGGAAUGAUCAGUAAGUUAAAGUAGAAUUAAUUACCUUAGGGAUAACAGCGUUAUAUUUUUGGAGAGAUCAUAUCAAUAAAAAUGUUUGCGACCUCGAUGUUGAAUUAAGAUAAAAAUUAAAUGAAGGAAUUUAAUAUUUAAGUCUGUUCGACUUUUGAAAUCUUACAUGAUUUGAGUUUAGAUCGGCGUGAGCCAGAUCGGUUUCUAUCUAUGUUAAUUUUAAGGAUAUUUGUACGAAAGGACUUUAUUUUUUAGUUUUAUUAAUUUAAAUAAAGGAUUAAAGAUUUAGA